RNAcentral lists this long non-coding RNA (414 nucleotides) under Vulpes vulpes (red fox). RNAcentral's name for it is "lncRNA (ENSVVUG00000016776.1)". The record is from RNAcentral. Lineage: Eukaryota; Metazoa; Chordata; Mammalia; Carnivora; Canidae.
AUGGGGGAGGAGAUCGCACGAGGCAAUCUCCAGCCCGGGACAGCGUGGGUCCCUGAAAAUGUUCAAGCAGAGGUCCCAUCGAUGGAAACGUCCCUCCUGCUGGUCCAUCAGCGGCCUCAGAAUAGAGACAAAGCUUGCAGGGCUGCGGCUCCGGGACCCGCGGACCCGCAGGAGGGCCGAGGGCCGCCCCGCCACCGCCCGGCGCCCACCCCGUCGUCCAGUGCCGCGGUCUGUUCAGUAGCUGCUGCAAGACGAACAUCAUCUCAAUUAACAGCGCACCUUGCGGGCGGCUCGGGCCGACUCUUCCAGCCCCACCGGCCACGCGGCCAUCAGGCCCUAAUCAACUAAUGAUGGCGGAAAAUGAGGGAGGCCAAUCCCAAUAAAUUCGAAGGAAAGUCAUUUUUCUCUUUUAAU